RNAcentral lists this ribosomal RNA (406 nucleotides) under uncultured bacterium. Its description in RNAcentral is "partial 16S ribosomal RNA". It matches the Rfam family "Bacterial small subunit ribosomal RNA", at positions 30 to 526 of the family's 1533-position model. The record is from RNAcentral.
AUUGAACGCUGGCGGCAGGCCUAACACAUGCAAGUCGAACGAGUGGCGGACGGGUGAGUAAUGUCUGGGAAACUGCCUGAUGGAGGGGGAUAACUACUGGAAACGGUAGCUAAUACCGCAUACUAUCGGAUGAUCCCAGAUGGGAUUAGCUAGUUGGUGGGGUAACGGCUCACCAAGGCGACGAUCCCUAGCUGGUCUGAGAGGAUGACCAGCGAGACUGGAAAUGAGCAACGGUCCAGACUACUACGGGAGUGAGCAGUGGGGAAUAUUGCACAAUGGGCGAAAGCCUGAUGCAGCCAUGCCGCGUGUAUGAAGAGGGCCUUCGGGUUGUAAAGUACUUUCAGCGGGGAGGCGUUACCCGCAGAAGAAGCCCCGGCUAACUCCGUGCCAGCCGCCGCGGUAAUUC